Bubalus bubalis (water buffalo) is the source of this 106-nucleotide small nuclear RNA. The record is from RefSeq and is a predicted model, not a curated record. NCBI's taxonomy places the organism in Eukaryota, Metazoa, Chordata, Mammalia, Artiodactyla, Bovidae.
AUGCUUGUUAUGUCAGCACAGAUACUAAAAUUCAAGCCUACAGAGGAAAUUAGCAUAGCCCCUGUGCAAGGAUGAGGUGAAGAUUCAUGAAGCAUUCCAUAUUUUU